Dermacentor albipictus is the source of this 441-nucleotide long non-coding RNA. RefSeq lists it as uncharacterized. The record is from RefSeq and is a predicted model, not a curated record. NCBI's taxonomy places the organism in Eukaryota, Metazoa, Arthropoda, Arachnida, Ixodida, Ixodidae.
ACAUCGAAAAUGGAUUUCACUGCUGUUUCUGCGCACGCGCGAGGAGCAGUAGCUGCGAGAGAGAAAUGUGGGGACUUUUGGUGCUCAAGAUUUCUCGUCGUUUAGGUACAACGGGGAAGAAAACCGUUUGCUCCGUUUGUCCCUAGCCGAAGCACAGAAUCGACAGGAUGCGUGGCCGGCAAGGCGGAAGAAGCUGCGUCCGAGCUGUCGUCUUCUCGGAAGCAGGCACUCAUGCUUGGAGACCGGCAGAGCACAAACUGCAGCAUGUAUGCCGAAAUAAACAGCUGUUGCCUAUUUCAAAUAGAACCAAUGUAAGGUGUGGUGAGCCCGGGAGACAGCAAGAGCCGCAGGAGUCCUGGACUAAGGGCGCCUCCCACACAAGCAGAAAGACACCUGCUUUUCCUUUCUUUUCUGUAAUAAAUGUUUUUUCUUCUCCUCCUC